UACCAUAGACGCAGCUCUGAUUUCUGGUGUU
RNAcentral lists this non-coding RNA (31 nucleotides) under Homo sapiens (human). The record is from RNAcentral. Lineage: Eukaryota; Metazoa; Chordata; Mammalia; Primates; Hominidae.